Molecule: non-coding RNA, 1619 nt
Organism: Arachis ipaensis
Lineage: Eukaryota; Viridiplantae; Streptophyta; Magnoliopsida; Fabales; Fabaceae
Source: RefSeq, a predicted model, not a curated record
GGAUAUGUCUUUGUUGACAUGGAUGGUAAGCACUUCCAUCACAUUCUUAAUUGGUUGAGAGAUGGUGUGGUUCCCAUUCUGGAGGACUCUGAAUAUAAUGAACUAUUGCGGGAGGCUGAGUACUAUCAAUUGCUUGUUUAUGUUCGAUGCAUUAUCAUCUAUGUGAGAGAUGAAGAGUUACCUUAAUCUUGACAGAAAUCAUGCUACUACAAUACUGUUUUGCAAGUUAUCUUAUAAUUAGCUCUGUUCGGUGCUGAGUGUUAGUAACAGUGAUUAGACACAGACAAAGAAGGGAAAAAGAGAAGAGAAAUAAAGGAGAGGUUCCUUCCUGUUUUGCUGUGAACUGGAAGGAAGGAAGCUGAAGGUCAAUUGGGAUUCACCACUCUUGACACCCUGAAGCGAACAAGGGAGGAAUCCAAGAAGCAAGUGCAUUGCAUUGCAUUCUGAGUAAGAGUUUGUGGAGAGUGAGUGUGGGAUUAAAAAAGGGAAUUCAAAAUUCAGCGACUGGGGUCAGGGGGUGACUUGCCCCAAUCUGGUGGUGAGUACAAUCCUUAUCGCGCGCUGCGCAGGGUCAAUUCCAGCCACGGCAUGAUGAUCGAUGACGACAAGGAGGCUGGUUCUUUGGGGCCUUACCACGACAGGCCAAGAACUUUCCCCAACAUGCGCACCAAACCUUACACCCCAGUGAUAUUUCGUAUUCUCCUGGGAAUAAAUGUCCGUGUUCUAUUCAUUCUUUUGCUCCUCGGAUUUGGGGCUAUCUUUUACAUGGGAGCCAGUACAUCUCCCAUCAUUGUCUUUGUCAUCUCUAUUUGUAUUCUCAGCUUCCUUGUGUCUAUAUAUCUUACAAAGUGGGUGCUUGCAAAGGAUGAGGGCCCCCCUGAAAUGGUUCAGUGUUAUCUCAGCAUCUAGCCUUUUGGUACCGCCAAGUUUGAUGCUGCAAAGUUAAAGAAGCUUAGAGCAAACUUCAAGCCGAAUGGUGGUACUGUGACUGCUGGCAAUGCUUCUAGCAUAAGCUGCUGCGAUAGUGCUAGUGAGUGAAGAGAAAGCACGUGAGCUCGGAUUGCAUGUAAUAGCAAAGAUAAGAGGAUUCGCGGAUGCGGCUCAGGAACCUGAAUUAUUUACAACUGCUCCUGCCCUUGCAAUACCAAAAGCUAUAUCAAAUGCUGGUCUAGAGGCUUCUCAAAUUGAUUAUUAUGAAAUAAAUGAAGCUUUUUCUAUAAGGAAUACAGCACCCUUUACUCAUUCAUUCUUAUUUCCUUUAUCUUUUGUUCUUCUAAUUUCUUCUAUACAGGUUGUCUCUUGCAAAUCAGAAGCUUCUUCGUCUUAGUCCUGACAAACUUAAUGUACAUGGUGGAGCUGUAUCAUUAGGCCAUCCACUGGGUUGCAGCGGGGCUCGAAUCCUAGUUACAUUAAUAGGGGUAUUGAGACAGAAGAAUGGGAGAUAUGGCGUUGCUGGCAUCUGCAAUGGCGGAGGCGGAGCAUCUGCACUUGUCCUUGAGCUCAUGACUUGUAUGCCAUUCAAAGCUUUGAGAGAGGAAUAGCUGCUCAAAAUGCUGGUCAUUUUUCUUGGGAGAUAGUUCUGCAGAGGCAGCUAUUCUGUUGAACCAGGAUCUUGUCUU